This 2638-nucleotide ribosomal RNA is filed under the name Escherichia coli. RNAcentral's name for it is "partial 23S ribosomal RNA". It matches the Rfam family "Bacterial large subunit ribosomal RNA", at positions 292 to 2915 of the family's 2925-position model. Lineage: Bacteria; Pseudomonadati; Pseudomonadota; Gammaproteobacteria; Enterobacterales; Enterobacteriaceae. The record is from RNAcentral.
GGGGAGCAGCCCAGAGCCUGAAUCAGUGUGUGUGUUAGUGGAAGCGUCUGGAAAGGCGCGCGAUACAGGGUGACAGCCCCGUACACAAAAAUGCACAUAUUGUGAGCUCGAUGAGUAGGGCGGGACACGUGGUAUCCUGUCUGAAUAUGGGGGGACCAUCCUCCAAGGCUAAAUACUCCUGACUGACCGAUAGUGAACCAGUACCGUGAGGGAAAGGCGAAAAGAACCCCGGCGAGGGGAGUGAAAAAGAACCUGAAACCGUGUACGUACAAGCAGUGGGAGCACGCUUAGGCGUGUGACUGCGUACCUUUUGUAUAAUGGGUCAGCGACUUAUAUUCUGUAGCAAGGUUAACCGAAUAGGGGAGCCGAAGGGAAACCGAGUCUUAACUGGGCGUUAAGUUGCAGGGUAUAGACCCGAAACCCGGUGAUCUAGCCAUGGGCAGGUUGAAGGUUGGGUAACACUAACUGGAGGACCGAACCGACUAAUGUUGAAAAAUUAGCGGAUGACUUGUGGCUGGGGGUGAAAGGCCAAUCAAACCGGGAGAUAGCUGGUUCUCCCCGAAAGCUAUUUAGGUAGCGCCUCGUGAAUUCAUCUCCGGGGGUAGAGCACUGUUUCGGCAAGGGGGUCAUCCCGACUUACCAACCCGAUGCAAACUGCGAAUACCGGAGAAUGUUAUCACGGGAGACACACGGCGGGUGCUAACGUCCGUCGUGAAGAGGGAAACAACCCAGACCGCCAGCUAAGGUCCCAAAGUCAUGGUUAAGUGGGAAACGAUGUGGGAAGGCCCAGACAGCCAGGAUGUUGGCUUAGAAGCAGCCAUCAUUUAAAGAAAGCGUAAUAGCUCACUGGUCGAGUCGGCCUGCGCGGAAGAUGUAACGGGGCUAAACCAUGCACCGAAGCUGCGGCAGCGACGCUUAUGCGUUGUUGGGUAGGGGAGCGUUCUGUAAGCCUGUGAAGGUGUGCUGUGAGGCAUGCUGGAGGUAUCAGAAGUGCGAAUGCUGACAUAAGUAACGAUAAAGCGGGUGAAAAGCCCGCUCGCCGGAAGACCAAGGGUUCCUGUCCAACGUUAAUCGGGGCAGGGUGAGUCGACCCCUAAGGCGAGGCCGAAAGGCGUAGUCGAUGGGAAACAGGUUAAUAUUCCUGUACUUGGUGUUACUGCGAAGGGGGGACGGAGAAGGCUAUGUUGGCCGGGCGACGGUUGUCCCGGUUUAAGCGUGUAGGCUGGUUUUCCAGGCAAAUCCGGAAAAUCAAGGCUGAGGCGUGAUGACGAGGCACUACGGUGCUGAAGCAACAAAUGCCCUGCUUCCAGGAAAAGCCUCUAAGCAUCAGGUAACAUCAAAUCGUACCCCAAACCGACACAGGUGGUCAGGUAGAGAAUACCAAGGCGCUUGAGAGAACUCGGGUGAAGGAACUAGGCAAAAUGGUGCCGUAACUUCGGGAGAAGGCACGCUGAUAUGUAGGUGAAGCGACUUGCUCGUGGAGCUGAAAUCAGUCGAAGAUACCAGCUGGCUGCAACUGUUUAUUAAAAACACAGCACUGUGCAAACACGAAAGUGGACGUAUACGGUGUGACGCCUGCCCGGUGCCGGAAGGUUAAUUGAUGGGGUCAGCGCAAGCGAAGCUCUUGAUCGAAGCCCCGGUAAACGGCGGCCGUAACUAUAACGGUCCUAAGGUAGCGAAAUUCCUUGUCGGGUAAGUUCCGACCUGCACGAAUGGCGUAAUGAUGGCCAGGCUGUCUCCACCCGAGACUCAGUGAAAUUGAACUCGCUGUGAAGAUGCAGUGUACCCGCGGCAAGACGGAAAGACCCCGUGAACCUUUACUAUAGCUUGACACUGAACAUUGAGCCUUGAUGUGUAGGAUAGGUGGGAGGCUUAGAAGUGUGGACGCCAGUCUGCAUGGAGCCGACCUUGAAAUACCACCCUUUAAUGUUUGAUGUUCUAACGUUGACCCGUAAUCCGGGUUGCGGACAGUGUCUGGUGGGUAGUUUGACUGGGGCGGUCUCCUCCUAAAGAGUAACGGAGGAGCACGAAGGUUGGCUAAUCCUGGUCGGACAUCAGGAGGUUAGUGCAAUGGCAUAAGCCAGCUUGACUGCGAGCGUGACGGCGCGAGCAGGUGCGAAAGCAGGUCAUAGUGAUCCGGUGGUUCUGAAUGGAAGGGCCAUCGCUCAACGGAUAAAAGGUACUCCGGGGAUAACAGGCUGAUACCGCCCAAGAGUUCAUAUCGACGGCGGUGUUUGGCACCUCGAUGUCGGCUCAUCACAUCCUGGGGCUGAAGUAGGUCCCAAGGGUAUGGCUGUUCGCCAUUUAAAGUGGUACGCGAGCUGGGUUUAGAACGUCGUGAGACAGUUCGGUCCCUAUCUGCCGUGGGCGCUGGAGAACUGAGGGGGGCUGCUCCUAGUACGAGAGGACCGGAGUGGACGCAUCACUGGUGUUCGGGUUGUCAUGCCAAUGGCACUGCCCGGUAGCUAAAUGCGGAAGAGAUAAGUGCUGAAAGCAUCUAAGCACGAAACUUGCCCCGAGAUGAGUUCUCCCUGACUCCUUGAGAGUCCUGAAGGAACGUUGAAGACGACGACGUUGAUAGGCCGGGUGUGUAAGCGCAGCGAUGCGUUGAGCUAACCGGUACUAAUGAACCGUGAGG